Molecule: ribosomal RNA, 758 nt
Filed under: uncultured bacterium
Lineage: Bacteria
Description: bacterial SSU rRNA
Rfam family: Bacterial small subunit ribosomal RNA
Source: RNAcentral
CAGUCGAACGAUGAAGUCCUAGCUUGCUAGGAUGGAUUAGUGGCGCACGGGUGACUUUAUAUAGUUAAUCUGCCCUACACAGAGGAACAACAGUUGGAAACGGCUGCUAAUACCUCAUACUCCUAUUUAACAUAAGUUAAAUAGGGAAAGUCUUUUCGGUGUAGGAUGAGACUAUAUCGUAUCAGCUAGUUGGUAAGGUAAUGGCUUACCAAGGCUAUGACGCGUAACUGGUCUGAGAGGAUGAUCAGUCACAUUGGAACUGAGACACGGUCCAAACUCCUACGGGAGGCAGCAGUAAGGAAUAUUGCGCAAUGGGGGAAACCCUGACGCAGCAACGCCGCGUGGAGGAUGACACUUUUCGGAGCGUAAACUCCUUUUAUCAGGAAAGAAUAAUGACGGUACCUGAUGAAUAAGCACCGGCUAACUCCGUGCCAGCAGCCGCGGUAAUACGGGGGGUGCAAGCGUUACUCGGAAUCACUGGGCGUAAAGGACGCGUAGGCGGAUUAUCAAGUCUUUUGUGAAAUCUAGUGGCUUAACCACUAAACUGCUUAGGAAACUGAUAGUCUAGAGUAGGGGAGAGGUAGAUGGAAUUCUUGGUGUAGGGGUAAAAUCCGUAGAGAUCAAGAAGAAUACCCAUUGCGAAAGCGAUCUGCUGGAACCUAACUGACGCUGAGGCGUGAAAGCGUGGGUAGCAAACAGGAUUAGAUACCCUGGUAGUCCACGCCCUAAACGAUGUAUACUAGUUGUUGCUUUGCUAG